AGCGAACGCUGGCGGCAGGCUUAACACAUGCAAGUCGAGCGGGCACUUUCGGGUGUCCGCGGCGGACGGGUGAGUAACGCGUGGGAACGUGCCCUCUGGUUCGGAAUAACUCAGGGAAACUUGAGCUAAUACCGGAUACGCCCUUUUGGGGAAAGGCUUGCUGCCGGAGGAUCGGCCCGCGUCUGAUUAGCUAGUUGGUGAGGUAACGGCCCACCAAGGCGACGAUCAGUAGCUGGUCUGAGAGGAUGAUCAGCCACACUGGGACUGAGACACGGCCCAGACUCCUACGGGAGGCAGCAGUGGGGAAUAUUGGACAAUGGGCGCAAGCCUGAUCCAGCCAUGCCGCGUGAGUGAUGAAGGUCUUAGGGUUGUAAAGCUCUUUUAUCCGGGACGAUAAUGACGGUACCGGAGGAAUAAGCCCCGGCUAACUUCGUG
This 435-nucleotide ribosomal RNA is filed under the name uncultured bacterium. Its description in RNAcentral is "partial 16S ribosomal RNA". It matches the Rfam family "Bacterial small subunit ribosomal RNA", at positions 29 to 507 of the family's 1533-position model. The record is from RNAcentral.